GACAAAAAUAACCCUAUUAUUGAAAAGAAAAAAAUCUAAAAAGGAAAACAAAAUUCGCAAGACAAUUAUUUUUGCUAGGCACAUGUUAUUCUCUAUAUAUGAUAUAAGUUUAGUGGUAAGAAAUUAUAUCUUAAAACAUUAAUGUAUAAAUUUCUAAAAGAGAACUUAUGCCGUUCAUGACAUAACUUGUAUAUCUUGGAACAUAAAUUUAAUUUAUAACAGUAUGCCUUAAAAACUUCAUGCAUUGAACUUAUCUUGUAGGCAUAACUUGUGCUUUGAAGAAAACAAUGGACCACAUUUUUAUCACAAAGUUAGAUUGCUAAUUAUGAAAUAGUGGCUAAAAAACAUAUUUUUAUGAUGUCCAUAAGCUUAUGCCUAUUUAUAUUUGUUGGGAUAUUUGGAAGACAUAUGUAGAGCUUAAUAUGGUCAUCUUUUGCUAGAAUUCUUUAUGCUAUCAACUAUAUAUCAUAUUCACAGUUUUGAAUAUAGUCUUUCUAUGUAUAUAGUUUUUUUCAAGGAUGAGGCUCCCUUUGAAUCAUCUAUUUGAUGUGUUUUAGGUCUCUAACUUAGACCUCACAUUGCAAAGCUUUUCUUUCUUUCUUUCUUUUCUUUUCUACCUAUCUAGAAGUGUGAGUUUCAACGUGUGUGUUUAUAGUCAUAUUCAUAUUUGAUUAGGGUAUUUUUGUCAUAUUACAUUAAUUUUUUCUUUCUACCUAUGUAGAAGUGUGAGUUUCAACGUGUGUAUUUAUAGUCAUAUUCAUAUUUGAUUAGGGUAUUUUUGUCAUAUUACGUUAAUUUUUUCUUUCUAUUCUACCUAUAUAGAAGUGUGAGUUUCAACGUGUGUUUAUAGUCCUAUUCAUAUUUGAUUAGGGUAUUUUUGUCAUAUUACAUUAAUUUCCAUGGUUUAACUUCAUUACACGUGGAUUAUACGUGUCCUUCACCCCCACUUCCGCUCCUUUUAUCAAAAGCUCAAAGCUUUCUUCAACUUUCUCAGACUCGAAGUUGCUGCACUUCUAAGGUAAAAAAAAGAGUUCGCAGUAAGCAAAGGAGAAAAAGAAGAUGGGUUCUUAUUUAUGUACUUGACAAUUCUAUGGGUUUUGAAAUUUUGGUGCUUACAAGUUUUAUUUA
This is a long non-coding RNA of Solanum lycopersicum (tomato), 1128 nucleotides long. RefSeq lists it as uncharacterized. The record is from RefSeq and is a predicted model, not a curated record. Lineage: Eukaryota; Viridiplantae; Streptophyta; Magnoliopsida; Solanales; Solanaceae.